This 226-nucleotide long non-coding RNA is filed under the name Elaeis guineensis (African oil palm). RNAcentral describes it as "long non-coding RNA (EGUI_LNC074016)". The record is from RNAcentral. Lineage: Eukaryota; Viridiplantae; Streptophyta; Magnoliopsida; Arecales; Arecaceae.
GUUAAACACUUUACUGACAAUUGGUUGUUCAUUGCUUCUUAAAGAGUCAUUCAUAUGCCAAAGGGCUUAAGAAUAAAUUUUUUUCUUAUUUGGAUCAGUUGGCAGUAGUAUUUGAUGGAGAUAGAGCAACUGGACAAGCAGCUGAGGCACUAGCAGAAGCUGUAGAGCAUAUGGAGCAAGAAGGAGUAGCAAAUACUGAGUUUGUUAAUAAAGAGAUGUCUGAUGU